RNAcentral lists this ribosomal RNA (492 nucleotides) under uncultured bacterium. RNAcentral describes it as "partial 16S ribosomal RNA". It matches the Rfam family "Bacterial small subunit ribosomal RNA", at positions 29 to 507 of the family's 1533-position model. The record is from RNAcentral.
AGUGAACGCUGGCGGUAGGCCUAACACAUGCAAGUCGAACGGCAGCACAGUAAGAGCUUGCUCUUACGGGUGGCGAGUGGCGGACGGGUGAGGAAUACAUCGGAAUCUACUUUUUCGUGGGGGAUAACGUAGGGAAACUUACGCUAAUACCGCAUACGACCUACGGGUGAAAGCAGGGGAUCUUCGGACCUUGCGCGAUUGAAUGAGCCGACGUCGGAUUAGCUAGUUGGCGGGGUAAAGGCCCACCAAGGCGACGAUCCGUAGCUGGUCUGAGAGGAUGAUCAGCCACACUGGAACUGAGACACGGUCCAGACUCCUACGGGAGGCAGCAGUGGGGAAUAUUGGACAAAGGGCGCAAGCCUGAUCCAGCCAUACCGCGUGGGUGAAGAAGGCCUUCGGGUUGUAAAGCCCUUUUGUUGGGAAGGAAAAGCAGCAGGUUAAUACCCCGCUGUUCUGACGGUACCCAAAGAAUAAGCACCGGCUAACUUCGUG